UACGGAGGGGGCAAGCGUUAUCCGGAUUCACUGGGUUUAAAGGGUGCGUAGGCGGGGAAGGAAGUCCGUGGUGAAAUCUCUGAGCUUAACUCAGAAACUGCCGUGGAUACUAUUUGCCUUGAAUAUUGUGGAGGUGAGCGGAAUAUGUCAUGUAGCGGUGAAAUGCUUAGAUAUGACAUAGAACACCAAUUGCGAAGGCAGCUCACUACACAAUCAUUGACGCUGAGGCACGAAAGCGUGGGGAUCAAACAGG
This 253-nucleotide ribosomal RNA is filed under the name uncultured bacterium. Its description in RNAcentral is "partial 16S ribosomal RNA". It matches the Rfam family "Bacterial small subunit ribosomal RNA", at positions 524 to 776 of the family's 1533-position model. The record is from RNAcentral.